GUUGUUACAUAAAUGAACAGCUAAGAUGAACUUCAUGAGAUGUUAUGGUAUGGUGGUUGCAGAUGAUCUCUCACUUCAUUAACCGUCAGCAUGUCAUGUCCAUGGAGUUGUCUUGUGUUUUAGACCAUUAAAAAACAAGGAGACUUGUAGCUAUCACACAACAGCUUCCUAGACCAGACAUGACUCUUCAUCUUUAUGAAUCAAAACUUAAAGCAUAAUUAAUCAAAUCAAAACUUAGAGCACAAUAAAUCAGCCUUAGUCCAAUGUAAUUAUUAUAAGUCAUGUCUAUUUCAAUAUAAAGUCAUUCCUCUCCUCCCAAUCACACUCUUUGG
This 332-nucleotide long non-coding RNA is filed under the name Phoenix dactylifera (date palm). RNAcentral describes it as "long non-coding RNA (PDAC_LNC000411)". Lineage: Eukaryota; Viridiplantae; Streptophyta; Magnoliopsida; Arecales; Arecaceae. The record is from RNAcentral.